This is a long non-coding RNA of Rhipicephalus microplus (southern cattle tick), 469 nucleotides long. NCBI's taxonomy places the organism in Eukaryota, Metazoa, Arthropoda, Arachnida, Ixodida, Ixodidae. The record is from RefSeq and is a predicted model, not a curated record.
UGGCCGAGAAAGGCGUGGGCAAACGACGCAACGCGAUUUGCUGCGUGGAGUUCUCCACACUGCGAACAGCAUCCAGGGCAACGUGGGAGACGCAAGAAGCCCUUGCGCGGCAGGAACUCGUGGAAGUUCGACGUCCUUGUGGCUGUCCCUUGCCGAACAUAAUGUUGCAUUCGGAAUGAGCGUACGGCAUCCACAGUAGCCGUGAGGCAGAAGAUGAAGAUUCGGAGGAAGAAGACCGACGGAAGAACUCUCGAUUCACCUCCUUCGCCGACAGGGUCUCAAAGUUGGAUUCGAGUUUCAGGCAGGGCACCCAGCAUUCCACCGAGGGGCCUCGCAAGUCCACUCGCUGGUGUUCCGUUAACCGGGGACGCUACCUUGUUAUUAAUUUAUUAUGUUUAAUGAUCUUAAUGCAUAAAUAUUUUUCGUUGUUCUUAAUAAAGAGCUUUGUAAGCGCCAUAUUAACAUAGUA